This is a non-coding RNA of Triticum urartu, 135 nucleotides long. Lineage: Eukaryota; Viridiplantae; Streptophyta; Magnoliopsida; Poales; Poaceae. The record is from Rfam.
AACAUACUCCCACCAUCUCAAAAUUCUUGUCUUAAAUUUGUCUAAAUACGAAUGUAUCAAGUCACAUUUCCGUACUAGGUACAUCCGUAUCUAGACAAAUGUAAGCCAAGAAUUUUGGGACGGAGAGAGUACAAU